CCUACGGGCGGCUGCAGUGGGGAAUAUUGCACAAUGGGCGCAAGCCUGAUGCAGCCAUGCCGCGUGUGUGAAGAAGGCCUUCGGGUUGUAAAGCACUUUCAGCGGGGAGGAAGGCGUUAAGGUUAAUAACCUUGUCGAUUGACGUUACCCGCAGAAGAAGCACCGGCUAACUCCGUGCCAGCAGCCGCGGUAAUACGGAGGGUGCAAGCGUUAAUCGGAAUCACUGGGCGUAAAGCGCACGCAGGCGGUCUGUCAAGUCGGAUGUGAAAUCCCCGGGCUCAACCUGGGAACUGCAUUCGAAACUGGCAGGCUAGAGUCUUGUAGAGGGGGGUAGAAUUCCAGGUGUAGCGGUGAAAUGCGUAGAGAUCUGGAGGAAUACCGGUGGCGAAGGCGGCCCCCUGGACAAAGACUGACGCUCAGGUGCGAAAGCGUGGGGAGUAAACAGGAUUAGAUACCCCAGUAGUC
Molecule: ribosomal RNA, 465 nt
Filed under: uncultured Klebsiella sp.
Lineage: Bacteria; Pseudomonadati; Pseudomonadota; Gammaproteobacteria; Enterobacterales; Enterobacteriaceae
Description: bacterial SSU rRNA
Rfam family: Bacterial small subunit ribosomal RNA
Source: RNAcentral